This 227-nucleotide transfer-messenger RNA is filed under the name Kiritimatiellales bacterium. RNAcentral describes it as "partial transfer-messenger RNA". It matches the Rfam family "transfer-messenger RNA", at positions 1 to 245 of the family's 374-position model. Rfam says of the family: Bacterial tmRNA, also known as 10Sa RNA or SsrA, is named for its dual tRNA and mRNA-like properties. Lineage: Bacteria; Pseudomonadati; Kiritimatiellota; Kiritimatiellia; Kiritimatiellales. The record is from RNAcentral.
GGGGAUGACUGGUUUCGACGGUUAAGUUGAAGCGGCAGUCGCGUGUCGAGGUUGGACUCCGGGCCUCGUUAAAAGGAGCCCAAAACAUUAAAUGCUGACGAAAGUUACGCACUCGCUGCCUAAAUAAAGGCGCGACGUCUUUACCCUGACGCCUGUUAGGGGCUAAAGGCGACGACAACAGGCUGGUGUCAAGAUCGGGUAUCCGGGUGGCGACAUGAGAAAAUAAC